RNAcentral lists this RNase P RNA (413 nucleotides) under Clostridiales bacterium. RNAcentral's name for it is "RNase P RNA component class A". It matches the Rfam family "Bacterial RNase P class A". From Rfam's summary of the family: Ribonuclease P (RNase P) is a ubiquitous endoribonuclease, found in archaea, bacteria and eukarya as well as chloroplasts and mitochondria. Its best characterised activity is the generation of mature 5'-ends of tRNAs by cleaving the 5'-leader elements of precursor-tRNAs. Cellular RNase Ps are ribonucleoproteins. Lineage: Bacteria; Bacillati; Bacillota; Clostridia; Eubacteriales. The record is from RNAcentral. RNAcentral also lists the same sequence under 1 other name.
UGAGUAAGCCAGAUGAUCGCGUAUACAGUGCCGAAAGGCCGUAUAUGAGGAAAGUCCGGGCUCCACAGGGCAGGGUGCCGGGUAACUCCCGGUGAAGGCGACUUCAAGGAAAGUGCAACAGAGAUAUACCGCCGCGGGAUUUAGACGCGGGGACGGUUCUUGCGUCUCGCAGAUCGAGACGCAAGAACCGUCCCCGGAGUCCGGCCUCCGCGGUAAGGGUGGAAAGGUGAGGUAAGAGCUCACCAGCAGCAUGGCGACUUGCUGACUAUGUAAACCCCACCUGGAGCAACACCGUAUUAGGGACGAUAAAGUGGCCCGCUAGUCCCGGGUAGGUGGCUUGAACUGUACAGAAAUGUACAGUCUAGAUAGAUGAUCAUCGAAUACAGAACCCGGCUUAUAGGCUCACUCAUACA